Molecule: ribosomal RNA, 482 nt
Filed under: uncultured bacterium
Lineage: Bacteria
Description: partial 16S ribosomal RNA
Rfam family: Bacterial small subunit ribosomal RNA
Source: RNAcentral
AAUGAACGUUGGCGGCGUGGAUUAGGCAUGCAAGUCGAGCGAGAACCGUAGCAAUACGGGGACAGCGGCGAAAGGGAGAGUAAUACGUGGAUACCUACCCUCGGGUUCGGGAUAGCUGCGGGAAACUGCAGGUAAUACCGAAUAACAUCUCCGGAUCAAAGGUGUGAUUCCGCCCGGGGAGGGGUCCGCGUCCUAUUAGCUUGUUGGCGAGGUAACGGCUCACCAAGGCGAAGAUGGGUACGGGGUGUGAGAGCAUGCCCCCGCUCACUGGGACUGAGACACUGCCCAGACACCUACGGGUGGCUGCAGUCGAGAAUCUUCGGCAAUGGGCGCAAGCCUGACCGAGCGACGCCGCGUGCGAGAUGAAGGCCUUCGGGUUGUAAAUCGCUGUCAGUGGGGAGGAAAUGCCAUAGGGUUCUCUCUAUGGUUUGACCUAUCCGCAGAGGAAGGAUCGGCUAACUCCGUGCCAGCAGCCGCCGUAA